GCAGCGCGUGGCCGAAUGGUUACGCUGUCCGCUUUGUAAGCGGAUGAUUCUGGGUUCGAUUCCCAUCUGCUCCA
This 74-nucleotide transfer RNA is filed under the name Culex quinquefasciatus (southern house mosquito). RNAcentral's name for it is "tRNA-Thr". The stretch from base 8 to 67 matches the Rfam family "tRNA", at positions 7 to 64 of the family's 71-position model. From Rfam's summary of the family: Transfer RNA (tRNA) molecules are approximately 80 nucleotides in length. Their secondary structure includes four short double-helical elements and three loops (D, anti-codon, and T loops). Lineage: Eukaryota; Metazoa; Arthropoda; Insecta; Diptera; Culicidae. The record is from RNAcentral.